GAUGAACGCUGGCGGCGUGCCUAAUACAUGCAAGUAGAACGCUGAAGGAAGGAGCGUGCGCUCUCCGGAGGAGUGGCGAACGGGUGAGUAACGCGUAGGUAAGCUGCCUGGUAGCGGGGGAGAACUAUUGGAAACGAUAGCUAAUACCGCAUAACAGUAGAUGUUGCAGGAUAUCUACUUAAAAGGUGCAAUGGCACCACUACCAGAUGGACCUGCGUUUUAUUAGCUAGUUGGGGAGGGAACGGCUCACCAAGGCGACGAUACAUAGCCGACCUGAGAGGGUGGUCGGCCACCCUGGGAAUGAGACACGGCCCCGACUCCCUCGGGGGGCAGGAGUAGGGGAUCUUCGGCAAUGGACGGAAGUCUGACCGAGCAACGCCGCGUGAGUGAAGAAGGUUUUCGGAUCGUAAAGGUCUGUUGUAAGAGAAGAAAGAGUGUGAGAGUGGAAAGUUCACACUGUGACGGUACCUUACCAGAAAGGGACGGCUAACUACGUG
Molecule: ribosomal RNA, 497 nt
Filed under: uncultured bacterium
Lineage: Bacteria
Description: partial 16S ribosomal RNA
Rfam family: Bacterial small subunit ribosomal RNA
Source: RNAcentral